AUGAGUGUGUUUAAACUCCUCGCCUCAGUAUGUGAUGAGUUGACUCGUAUGAUACGCCAAUAUUGGUGGGGAGUGGAGAAUGGGAAGAAGAAAAUGGCUUGGAUGAGCUGGGACAAAUUGAGACUCCCCAAAUCCAUGGGGGGCAUGGGUUUUCGAGACAUGAGGGCUUUUAACCAGGCCUUGCUAGCCAAACAGGCCUGGAGAUUACUUGAGAUGUCGGGCAGCUUAUGUGCUCGGUUAUUGAAAGCAAAGUACUAUCCAUCUGGUUAUCUUUUGGAUACGGCCUUCCCCGCCAAUGGUUCUGCUGUUUGG
Molecule: ribosomal RNA, 312 nt
Filed under: Triticum aestivum (bread wheat)
Lineage: Eukaryota; Viridiplantae; Streptophyta; Magnoliopsida; Poales; Poaceae
Description: partial small subunit ribosomal RNA
Source: RNAcentral